Molecule: ribosomal RNA, 685 nt
Filed under: uncultured fungus
Lineage: Eukaryota; Fungi
Description: eukaryotic LSU rRNA
Rfam family: 5.8S ribosomal RNA (bases 147-301)
Source: RNAcentral
CUUUCGGGGGGCAUGUGCACGUCCAAGCCGUUUAAAUCAACCCCUUGUGAACUCACCGUAGGCCUUCGGGCUUAUGUAUCAUAUAUAUAUAUACUCAGAUCAUAGAAUGUACGUUUUGCCUUUAAAAAAAAAAAGCAAUCAAAUACAACUUUCAACAACGGAUCUCUUGGCUCUCGCAUCGAUGAAGAACGCAGCGAAAUGCGAUAAGUAAUGUGAAUUGCANAUUUUCAGUGAAUCAUCGAAUCUUUGAACGCACCUUGCGCUCCUUGGUAUUCCGAGGAGCAUGCCUGUUUGAGUGUCAUUAAAUCCUCAACCCCGUCCGUCGGUCAGGGCUUGGACUUUGGAGCGUGCUGGCGAAGGUCGGCUCCUCUUUAAAUGCAUCAGCGGAGAAAAACAAACCUUUUCCCCCCUUCAGCGUGAUAACUGCGUUGCGCUGUGGUCGCGAAAGGGUCCGCUCAUAAUUGUCCUCGGACAAACACCAAAUCUGUUUUGACCUCAGAUCAGGUAGGACUACCCGCUGAACUUAAGCAUAUCAAUAAGCGGAGGAAAAGAAACUAACAAGGAUUCCCCUAGUAACUGCGAGUGAAGCGGGAAAAGCUCAAAUUUAAAAUCUGGCGGUCCUCUGGCCGUCCGAGUUGUAAUCUGGAGAAGCGUUUUCCGCGUCGGACCGUGUACAAGUCUUCUG